Molecule: long non-coding RNA, 261 nt
Filed under: Ananas comosus (pineapple)
Lineage: Eukaryota; Viridiplantae; Streptophyta; Magnoliopsida; Poales; Bromeliaceae
Description: long non-coding RNA (ACOM_LNC005615)
Source: RNAcentral
UCUUUUCAUCCUAAUUGUCGUUAAUCUAGUUGUACACUUGCUCUGAUAUCUCUAAUUAUUUUAUUUCCUUACUUUCACACUCUAUUGUUGUUAGACGCCUUAUAUGUGUAGGCAUAUGGCGGAUCUAGACACGCGCACGCCCCAGAUCCGAUCCCUCAUCAGCUAAAUCGCUUGAUCCAAUCGAAAGGCGCAAACUUCAAGGGUCACUAAUCAUAGCCGUUCCGCAUUCCAACACACUUUCCGAGAGAGAUCUUUGACCCG